UUAGAUUGCAGGUAGAGAUACGCUGUAUACUCGUGUAGUCGAAUUAGCGUUUAAGCGAUAUGUAAUUUCGCCCCCCGCGAGGCCGCCUUUUAUGGGGGGUUUUUUUAUAG
RNAcentral lists this non-coding RNA (110 nucleotides) under unclassified sequences. Its description in RNAcentral is "DUF3800-I RNA". It matches the Rfam family "DUF3800-I RNA". Rfam says of the family: Actinobacteria, Firmicutes, Fusobacteria, Proteobacteria (1 example), Tenericutes (2 examples). Terminator (Clostridia) The record is from Rfam by way of RNAcentral.